UACGGGGGGAGCAAGCGUUGUUCGGAUUUACUGGGCGUAAAGGGCGCGUAGGCGGCCACCGCAAGUCGACUGUGAAAUCUCCGGGCUUAACCCGGAAAGGUCAGCCGAUACUGCGGGGCUAGAGUGCAGAAGGGGCAACUGGAAUUCUCGGUGUAGCGGUGAAAUGCGUAGAUAUCGAGAGGAACACCUGCGGCGAAGGCGGGUUGCUGGGCUGACACUGACGCUGAUGCGCGAAAGCUAGGGAGCGAACGGAU
RNAcentral lists this ribosomal RNA (254 nucleotides) under uncultured bacterium. RNAcentral describes it as "partial 16S ribosomal RNA". It matches the Rfam family "Bacterial small subunit ribosomal RNA", at positions 524 to 777 of the family's 1533-position model. The record is from RNAcentral.